UAAUUCUAAACAAAAUUUAUAUCAUAUUCACAAAUCAUAACUAAGUAUUAAUUAAAGCAUGAUCCAAAAAAAACUAAGUAUAAUCAAGUACAUGAUACAACCAAUUUAACAAAAUAAAAACAAAUACUACUCAAUAUGAUCACUACCAAUGUCAUCAUCCCCACUAUCUUCAUCCAAGUUGGAAAUUAGAGGAAUACCAAAUUUCCUUCAAUUGUUCCGACAUUCUUUCUCCCAUCCAAGUUGGCUUAUUUUUCAAAUCUUGCGUGCAUCUUGCAUUAGUUGCGACAUCUUAGCUGCACUCCUUUUUUCAAAGUUGCGUCACACCAUGUCGUUCAAAGUUGGGGGCCAUGUAAACCUUUUCUGUAAUGGAAAAAACAGAAGUAGUGGGAGAAGAUGAACAAAACGGAUGAACAAAACAUAAACAAUAUCUUACACACAUCAUUCUAGGAAUCAGGCUAAGAGAGUAAUUAAAAACCACACAAUACAUAAACUAACUAAUUAAUCGACCAAACAGAUUACAUUGAGAAAUAUUUUAUGAGCAGAUGUAUAUGUGAAUGAACAUAAAAAGUAAGAAAUAAUAUUGGAUUUAUGAAAUGUAUAUGUGAAUCUAUGUUUUAUAUAUAUAGGAAGUAGCAGAGUGUCAAAGAGCAGAUGCAGCAAAUAGUCUUGUUUAUGAAGCAAAUGUGAGGCUAAGAGGUCCAAUGUAUAGAUGCAUGGGUGAAAUUUCAGCAUUACGACAACAUGUUCAAUCUUUACAAUCUAUACUGAUGAAUGUGAACAUUAACUACAUCUGGGGUCAAAUGACUUUCAUUUUUACACAACUUACAUAGACAUCUUAUUACACCUUCAUUCAAAUUAAAUGGGAUAGUACUUAUUGUAGGCACAAAUCCAUUUAAUAUAAUUGAUGAUGCAAUUUGACUACAACAAUCUGCAGGAAAAUCUGGUGAUAUGCAAAUACAAUUGGUCAACGACAAUCACAAGAAAAUCUGAAGUCAAAUAAAUGAAUAGAAUGUUAUGUUAUCAAUAUAAAAUUUUGUGUGCACUAGAAGAGGUAGCACUAGAUAUAAUUGAGCAUAUGGAGUUUGCAACACAAUCUAUGAUGAAUGCAGAGCAUUAAAUUCGGCAUACACUAUAAGCACAAGAAAGAGUAAAAAUAGGUGUAGAAAUAUAAUAUCCUAGAAAUUCAGACUCCCAAUUGUUUCAGGAAGUUCCUAGCAUAUAGCUAAUCAAACAAGCAACUUGGCCCAAAACUCCAAACAUAAAACCACAUGAUAUCAUAUAAUUAGACAAACACAACUUUUGUAAAAAAUAUGUACAACAAUUACAAGAUUCAACAUCUUCUUUUCUUUGGAUACUGCAGAAAGUUAAGCUUGAAAAAAUCAAUAUCUGUUAAGCUUGGAAAAAUCAAUAUAUGUGUUCAAUAUUUUAGGAGCAUAAUACAUAAAAUCUUGUUCUACAAAUCAAAGAGAAAAAAAGUGACACUAAACCAUAGAAAAAGAAAACCAAUAUUCCAAAAAUAGAGCUGAUAUACACUACUAUAGCAGAGAAGAAACGAAAAAAAGUAAAAAACAGCACCAUCCAGAUAUAUUUUAACUUGAUAUUAUUAUUUGACUAUCUAAGGAACAAAAAACAACACAAAUCUGCAUUUUUGGUUGACAAAAUCAUUAGAACCACCGAAAGUGAAAACUUACAAUAUGUAUAAAAGUAAAAUAAAAAGCUGGCCAUGCUCAAACUAAUAUCUGAAAACUGAAAACAAAUAUAUAAAUAUGUCAUUCUUAGUACACAAAGAAUAAAAUGAAUAUGAAAAUUUGGAUAAAAAGAAAACCAAAUAUUAGAAGAAAAAAUAUAAAUACCACAAUAGCCUUUUAGAAAUGAAAGGUAAUGUUUCCUACAAUAGAUCCUUGAUGGGUUCAAGUCUUUUAUUUUCAUUGUCUGGAUGCACAAUCACAAGCAACCUAAGGCAUAAUUAACAACAAAAAGAGACUGAAGUCGUGGUUCAGGUGUUCUGUUAGGUGGUUGUGACUGAAAUGGUGCGACAGAAGCACAAUAAUCAACAAUGAAAAGAGAAGAACACAGGUUGUGUGAUAGUAAAAGAAAAUCACGAAAAAAUAAUAGAAGAAUGUGGACCUAAAAUGGCUUACCUUACCUAUCAAUAUCAACUAUCAAUUAUUGCAGAAUGCAUAUGAUAAAUAUUCUAUGCAAAAUAGUUUUACUUUGUAAGUACUUUGUUGUAGGUGUACAUUAAAAGCAAAUAAGCAAAUGGUUUAUUAAUCAAAGGAAAAGGCGUCGGAAGCCUUCCGAGGAAAUGCAGUGACAUAUUGAAGGGAUAUGAAUGCAAAAGGCAACACAUGAUACACCAUUCAAUGCAUUAUUUUCCCUGAACAUGGAAACUUUUUUAUUUGAUCAGUAAUACAAAUAUGCAUCUUGACCAUUUAAUCUUCACAUGUUUAUAAGAUACUCAAUGUCACAUGAAUUAAAUUCACUUGAAUAUAGAAAUAUGUAACACUCUAAUAAUAUAGAAUUGCUUUCUAUUUAUUAUUUUUAUAAGAAUAUGAACUCAUUUUCAUUCUAUUUUUUUCUUUUCCACUAUAGUUUCUAUAUCUGAAAAUGAAAAUAGAAGAAAGAAAGACAUGAGUUUCAAUCAAUAAAACUUCAAAUCAAUUUUAAAAUGAUAUCUAAUUAAGUUUUGAACAAUGAAACUUCAAAUCAAUUUUAAAAUGAUAUCUAAUUAAGUUUUAAACAAUAGAGAGAAAUCGAAAUACACAUACAACAAAAACUAACUACAUGGACUAACAACCUUUAAGUUGGUGACUAUGACUAGCAAUAUCAAACGUAGUAUGUGAGAUCAAGUUAAAACAUCAUUUCCUAAACAUACACAACAACAAAUUGGACAUUCAAAACCCUAAGCGAAGUUAAAAUUAGCUUCAACCUAAAUCUCUUACUUUAACCAAACACAAAAUCAAGUAAACCAGAAAAAAGAAUUAAAAUGUACCACGAUUAAUGUCACAAACUAACGAGAAAGUAGCAUUAGUGAUAGAAUCAAAUACCUCAAUAAAUUGAAAUUGAAAAAUCGGCUUAAAAAGCUAAGAAAUAUUUGAGGAAUGAGAAGCGCAAAUCAAUGCAAAUGAGAAGCGCAACCGUGAAGAAUCUGUGGGAGAGAAAAUGAAAAUAUGAUAAGAAAAUCCACAAUUUUGAAGAAUAACAUAAAAUCCCUAAUUUUGAACAUAUGAAAAACCUUAGCAAUGAUUUCAGAAUACAAAUAUAUUACUAGUAAUCUCAAUCAAAUAAUGAAUCAACCAAAUCACAAAACCCUAAAACAAUGUAAUUUUGCGAUACCAUACCUUGUUGAGUCGAUGAUUGUUAACUGUAGUUGAAGGCCGAACAAGGAGGUAUUGGUGGCUCGGUUUGCACCUUCGUGAACGGAGGAGGGCGGUGGAGGCCUUGGUGGUGGCUAUUUGCGAUGAAAUGAGGAAGAGAAAGGAGAAGAAGAGAGGUCUCGGUGGUUGAUCACAGAAGUGGUUGCUGAGAAAAUAGAAAUAAAAUAGAAGUUUUCAAGUUAAUGUCGUUGCCAAAUGGAGUGUAG
Molecule: long non-coding RNA, 3583 nt
Filed under: Cicer arietinum (chickpea)
Lineage: Eukaryota; Viridiplantae; Streptophyta; Magnoliopsida; Fabales; Fabaceae
Description: long non-coding RNA (CARI_LNC003510)
Source: RNAcentral